GAGGGCCCUGAAUUUCUUCCUUGUCCUCAGUGUGUAGAUGAAUUUGAGAACCUGGUUGUUGAUGUCCUUGAACGCCACAAGUGAGAGAGAUAAGAGUAUGGUUGAACAUCAUAUUGUUGCGCUGCUGCUAUAUAGUGUAGACAAGAGUCUGGAGCACAAGCAUUCUUAACACAGAUGGGGCUGUAGAACAUGAACUAGACGC
This 202-nucleotide long non-coding RNA is filed under the name Brassica rapa (field mustard). RNAcentral describes it as "long non-coding RNA (BRAP_LNC002829)". Lineage: Eukaryota; Viridiplantae; Streptophyta; Magnoliopsida; Brassicales; Brassicaceae. The record is from RNAcentral.